CUAACCCUUUAUUUUGUAGGUCUUUUUCUCAGGAAUUUUUACUCGAUUGGCCCAGAUCCACUUCAAGGGUCCAAGGACUUUGCACCCGUACCAAAAUUGCAUGCAUCAAUAUUAAAAUACAGUCAAAUAGCCUAAAAAACCCACUUUUGAUUUUGAUUUUAUAACUGAUAAUUUGAAAAAUAAUUUUAUAAAAUCGCUAAUCACAAUCCAACUUGAAAAUAAUUUUAAGAAAAACCAGUUUGUUUAAGCUUAUGAUUUUCUACUUAUUGUUUAGCUCAAUAAGUGUUCUCUUAUUGUUGUCCAGAAAUCUGCAUGUGAGGUGUGCUUAUACUCUAUUAUGUUAUUAUUAUUAUUAGAGUAAAGUGUUAGAUGAUUUUAAAAUCAGAAUAUUGGUAAAUUUUUAAACACAAUUUUAAGAAAAAUUGGUGUCGCGCAACUACUAGUUGUUUUCUUUUUUUAAUUGCAAGCAAACCACUACUUCAGACCCUUUUGGUAGAGCCGCCAUUAAUUAAGUAACAAUGGCCAAUAACAUUAGAUUCUUGCAAUUACUAUCUCAUCAAAUUAAAGAGAAUAUUGUUUGUAUUGAAAAAGACAAGUACUUGUACCUAAAAUCGACAUCUCAUUGGUUCCAAAUUUUAUUAAUCAUAAUAACUUCUAAAUUAGUAUUUGUCUUCAUGUAAUUAAUAAAGUGCAACAGGAAAGAAACCCUUCAAUUAUUUAUAAUUAGUCUAACCCAUCUGAAAAAUUGAAUUAUUGAUAUUCUUCUAUGUAUUCAUAUAUCUUUCAUCUCAGCUCUCAUCGUCUUCCCUCUCAACUCUCGUAUAAGCAGAAAACAGCUUCCGACUUAAUUUAAGCUGCUACAAUGGAAAACUACAAGCAUGGGGAAGAUGAGGAAGCAGGUGCGCUGGCCUUGGCUGCUUGUGUCUCUCAUAUCUUCCCCAUGGCUUUGGACGCCGCCAUUCAACUUGACCUCUUUGAGAUCAUUGCCAGGGCCGGCGGUGGGGCCCAACUCUCCCCUUCUGAAAUCGUCUCCCAACUUCCGCCCAGCCACGACGGAGUAGCCGCCGUGCUUGAUAGCCUGCUCCGGCUGCUGGCCACCCACUCUUUGCUUACUUGUUCUGUGAGCAAGCUUGAGAAUGGGGGAAUAGAACUUGCUCCGGUGGGAAAGUUCUUCGUGCGAGAUGAGGAUGGGGUGUCAUUUGCUCAGCUUUGGCCAAUCACUAGUCAGUGCGUAAAGGGGUUCAGGCGUAGAGCAUAUUGGUGGGGAUAUGUUUGUUCAAGUACCAAAAGGAGAUGCCAUCUUACUCAAGGUAUAUUUCAACCUUAGUUUUAUAUUUUGGACAUGUUUACUAAGGCGUAUUAGGCGGGAUAUACGCUGUAGUCCUGAUCAGUCAUUCGUUUACUUGCUAAUGAGGCGGCCCGUUACUACCCAGCAAAGCUCGAGACAUGGUGUGAUGAAUCUGCUGAUAAGAAUCCGGCCAAUUUGGGUGGGAUUUAUACUAUCCCGACGCCGCAGCCGUGUGGUUUUGACUAUAUUACCCUCAAAUUAGCACUUGAAAUGACACCGUUGUCCUUGUAGACACCCCCACCGCCUUCACUUCGCUCUCGAUUUUUCAUUUCAAAUCCUCUUCUUUCUCGUGUUCUGCAAAAUCCCGCUCGUACGCAAACGUGUACCAGCUAGCCACCAGUAUCAUCGUGUAAAGGUGAGUUCUUCGUCGCCAGUGUUCGUCGGAAUCAUACCGAGACGUCCCAUUUACGCUGUCCCAUGAGUACUCGUUCGUUACAAUCGUUGUUGUUUGUGGUUCGCACUAUCAUCCUUCGCGAUCUUAAGGUGGGUUUCUUUCAACCCAUUACUUUCUCAGUUGAAGGUGUUUCAGUAGUAUUGUGCCUUAUACUCUUUACUAUCUUUAAAUUUUACUUGGGUUGAGCAUACUGUAAUAAUGAACUGAUGUUCAUUUGUCCUGUUAAUAUGAUGGCACAACCGGUAUGUGCCUUUGUUGUUUGUUAUUGUAUACCAUAUUUGCUUCAACAGUGGUCAUUUUGUUGCAGCAAAUAAUUUUUCUGUUCUGUACCUUGGUUGUUAAGAAUAUGGCCAUUUACUCAGUUUGGAUCUGUUGUCACUCAGUGUUUAGUGAAUUCGCAUCCUCCUUGCCUUUGCAUUCGUCCAAACUACUCCAUUGUGAAUAAAAGUGCUUUUCAUGUUUAGGAUGAGGUCAUUUCAAAGAGUUACUUUGGCUUUAAUAAUUUUACAACAAAUCCUCGACGAGCUUACAGUCGCUCUCACAUUGUUCACUUCUGUUACAAAACACAUGAAUGCACGUAAACCUUAUCGUCCUCGGACUGGACCUUCGAGAUUCUUAACCAAUAUUUGGGUACCGGAGCAGAUUAGUCACCUUCACCGGCUAGUUUCAGUUACCGAUGAGUCAUGUCUAUGCAACUUACGUAUGGACCGUAACGCCUAUGGUCGGCUGUGCUAUUUGCUCCAAUAUACCGGUGGAGUUUCAAAAAGCUGGGUUUGUACCGUACCCGAGCAAGUCGCUAUUUUUCUUAGUGUUGUGGUCCAUCAUAAAAAGAUUUUUGUGGUGAAGCAUGAUUUCCUAUGUUCCGGCCGCACGAUCCACAAACAUUUCCACCGGGUCCUCAGAGCAAUAAUCAAACUGUACAACAUACUCCUAGCCCGAUCUACCCCAAUUACCGACUAUUGCGUCAACCCACGGUGGAGGUGGUUUAAGGGUUGUCUCGGGGCGUUGGAUGGAACCUUCAUUGACGUCCGAGUACAUGAAGUUGAGAAAGAACAGUAUCGAACCCGCAAAGGCCACGUCGCUGUGAAUAUACUUGGUGCCUGCAACCCUAAUAUGCAAUUUAUAUACGUUCUUUCUGAUUGGGAGGGGAGUGCAGCGGAUAGCCGUGUUUUGCGUGAUGCCGUUCACAGACAGGGUGGACUAAGUUCCUAAAGGACAGUACUACUUGUGUGACAAUGGCUACGCCAAUGCUGAAGGUUUCUUGACCCCGUACCGAGGUGUAAGGUAUCACCUAUGCGAAUGGGACAGUGGAGCUGGUGGACACAAAAUAAAUAUGAGUUUUUCAACUUCAAGCACUCCUCCGCUUGGAAUGUCAUUGAGUGUACUUUUGGUCUACUGAAAAUGCGAUGGGAAAUUCUAAGAAGUCAAUCAUUUUACCCCAUUAAGGUGCAAAACAGGAUCAUCUUGGUUUGUUACUUGUUGCACAAUUUUUUAAGGACCAAAAUGUCUGAUGAUCCGCUGGUGAACGAGUUGCCCAGUGAUGGAGCUGAAGGUACUGAUGCAGAUGCCGAUUGCGUGUGGAACAUUGAGAGCAACCCGUCAUAGAAUUCUUGGAGGGAUGCAAUGGCAACGUCUAUGUACAAUGAGUGGACAAGUCCUAUGUGACGUCGUAUAUCCAAAAUAUAAUGGCUUCAUCUUUCAUCCUUCAUAAAGCUUGUAACAUGAAGGAUGAAAGUUCAGUUGUAAUACACAGUGCUCUAUCCCCAAAGUUAUGUUGGCCUCUUAGGUUUGGGAGAUGGUCAUAUUAAAAUCUGUUUUCUACUUGUUCUUGUUUGAAACAUUUAUGGUACCCUUCAUUUCUUCAAUUCUCUUGUUUCUUUUGUAUGGGAUGUGGUGUUGCGAUGUAUUUGGACGUUACGUGUUUGUACUCAGUGGUUUUUUGUUACUUGUUCUCUCAUUAAUAUAGCCCGAAAGUUGUAUGAGCCUUUUAAUUUCC
Molecule: non-coding RNA, 3738 nt
Organism: Sesamum indicum (sesame)
Lineage: Eukaryota; Viridiplantae; Streptophyta; Magnoliopsida; Lamiales; Pedaliaceae
Source: RefSeq, a predicted model, not a curated record